Molecule: long non-coding RNA, 675 nt
Organism: Lathyrus oleraceus (garden pea)
Lineage: Eukaryota; Viridiplantae; Streptophyta; Magnoliopsida; Fabales; Fabaceae
Exons: 2
Source: RefSeq, a predicted model, not a curated record
AAAAGCAAGCAAGUGGCGUAUAGGUAAAAGUUUAUAUUAAUUUGUGAAAAACAAUUACUCUUACUGUUUUAAAACAGUCUAAUAUAACUAAUUUAUUAUAACUGGAUUUUUAGAAUAAUAUUAAAUAUUAUUUUUCAAAAUGCAUUAAUAGUAUCUGUAUCCAUGUCGAUUUAAUAUAUUUCAUUUUAUAUUAAUGGUAUAAAAGAAAGAAUACAUCAACAUAAUAAAAGAAUGAAAUUUUUUCAAAAUUAGGUGUUGGGCUGGAGAAUAAAAAUCUUCAGCGUGAAGUAGAAGAAAAGAAGAAGAAACAAUGAAGAUCUUUGGCAAAACCGUGUAUCCAAGACAAAUUAUACUCUUCGCCUCUGGGUUACUAUUCUUGGCAUCAACAACUUAUGAUGUGCAUAGAUCAAUCAAGAACAAUCAAACACCACCUUCUGAGGAACAGCUCAAAGCUCUUGAAGACUACAUCAAAUCGGUUCGUCGUUCACCUUAAUAUUUGUGGCACAUGUUCCGCCACGUCACUCCUAUCUCCACACAACAACUACACUUAAAUAAAAUUUCAUAACAAAUAAAGUUAUUUUUAUCUUAUUAAUGUAAAAUUAGUUAUUUUAGUUUAAUUAAUAUUAUGUGUAUGAAUCUCUCAUGUCACUAAUAGUAUUUUAGUUUCUGAGUUAA